UACGAAGGUCCCGAGCGUUGUUCGGAAUCACUGGGCGUAAAGGGAGCGUAGGCGGUAUGGUAAGUCAGAUGUGAAAUCCCGGGGCUCAACCCCGGAACUGCAUCCGAUACUGCCGUGCUAGAGGGUUGGAGAGGUAGCAGGAAUUCACGGUGUAGCAGUGAAAUGCGUAGAUAUCGUGAGGAAGACCAAUGGCGAAAGCAUGCUACUGGACAACACCUGACGCUGAGGCUCGAAGGCCAGGGGAGCGAAAGGGAUUAGAUACCCCUGUAGUCCUGGCAGUAAACGGUGCGCGCUUGGUGUGAGGGGAUUCGACCCCCCUCGUGCCGGAGCUAACGCGUUAAGCGCGCCGCCUGGGAAGUACGGUCGCAAGACUAAAACUCAAAGAAAUUGACGGGGACCCGCACAAGCGGUGGAGUAUGUGGCUUAAUUCGAUGCAACGCGAAGAACCUUACCAAGGCUUGACAUGCAUCUCUAAGCGCGUGAAAGCGCGUGACCCUUCGGGGGAUUUGCACAGGUGCUGCAUGGCCGUCGUCAGCUCGUGUCGUGAGAUGUUGGGUUAAGUCCCGCAACGAGCGCAACCCUUGUGACUAGUUGCCAGCGGGUAAUGCCGGGAACUCUAGUCAGACUGCCCAGAUCAACUGGGAGGAAGGUGGGGACGACGUCAGGUCAGUAUGGCCCUUACGCCUUGGGCUGCACACGUACUACAAUGCCCAGUACAAUGAGAACCGAGACCGCGAGGUGGAGGAAAUCUACAAAACUGGGCCCAGUUCGGAUUGGAGGCUGCAACUCGCCUCCAUGAAGUCGGAAUCGCUAGUAAUGGCGCAUCAGCUACGGCGCCGUGAAUACGUUCCCGGGUCU
Molecule: ribosomal RNA, 858 nt
Filed under: uncultured bacterium
Lineage: Bacteria
Description: SSU rRNA
Rfam family: Bacterial small subunit ribosomal RNA
Source: RNAcentral